This 517-nucleotide ribosomal RNA is filed under the name uncultured bacterium. Its description in RNAcentral is "partial 16S ribosomal RNA". It matches the Rfam family "Bacterial small subunit ribosomal RNA", at positions 355 to 889 of the family's 1533-position model. The record is from RNAcentral.
UGGGGAAUAUUGGACAAUGGGCGCAAGCCUGAUCCAGCCAUGCCGCGUAAGUGAUGAAGGCCUUAGGGUUGUAAAGCUCUUUUCAGUGGGGAAGAUAAUGACGGUACCCACAGAAGAAGCCCCGCUAACUUCGUGCCAGCAGCCGCGGUAAUACGAAGGGGGCUAGCGUUGUUCGGAUUUACUGGGCGUAAAGCGCACGUAGGCGGAUCGUUAAGUCAGGGGUGAAAUCCCAGAGCUCAACUCUGGAACUGCCUUUGAUACUGGCGAUCUCGAGUCCGGAAGAGGUNAGUGGAACUCCUAGUGUAGAGGUGGAAUUCGUAGAUAUUAGGAAGAACACCAGUGGCGAAGGCGGCUCACUGGUCCGGAACUGACGCUGAGGUGCGAAAGCGUGGGGGAGCAAACAGGAUUAGAUACCCUGGUAGUCCACGCCGUAAACUAUGAGAGCUAGCCGUUGGAUGGUUUACCAUUCAGUGGCGCAGCUAACGCAUUAAGCUCUCCGCCUGGGGAGUACGGUCGC